Long non-coding RNA from Megalopta genalis, 414 nucleotides. RefSeq lists it as uncharacterized. NCBI's taxonomy places the organism in Eukaryota, Metazoa, Arthropoda, Insecta, Hymenoptera, Halictidae. The record is from RefSeq and is a predicted model, not a curated record.
CGCCACGUGAAAUCGCCUGCAGCGGGCAUCAAAUUUCAAGUCGUAACUUUCGAGUAACAGCAAAAUUUAAAGAAGGUACUAUAGUGAUUGUCUAACAGGAAUUUAUAAGCGACAAAGAAGUGUUAAUCAACGUAGCUGUGAAAGAGAUCAUAGUGCAAGGAGUUAAAUACGCCACUGUAUACGGUGUAAGAGUGCAAAGGUGGAAGUUUCGCGUUCGGCAAGUUGAACGAGGAAGACCGGGAGCACGCGUCUAUCAAUGGACAGGCCGCAAAGACAAGAAGAUCGCGGCGGGAUAGUGGAAGCGAGAGGGGGCAGCAGACGCGAAGUAAACCGCAGGCGAAAAACGGUGACACGCGGUGAUCGUAAAGCAGUAUUUACUCGCUUGUUAAGUAGCAAUAAAUAGCGAAGAAAGAG